This is a non-coding RNA of Pelobates cultripes (western spadefoot toad), 253 nucleotides long. NCBI's taxonomy places the organism in Eukaryota, Metazoa, Chordata, Amphibia, Anura, Pelobatidae. The record is from the annotation of a GenBank genome assembly.
CUCAAACUGUGUACUUUGUCUUUAAGAGAUAUUGCAAACUGACAAGGUGUUAGAAAUGGAACAUAUUGUUUUUCAUACAUGUUUCUUUAAGCAAUAACCUCUUCAGUGAAUAAUAUAGUUACACCAUUUUGUCCCAGACGAAAUACUAUAACAAUAAUGCAUAUACAAGCUUCAAGGCUAUGCUACGACUCUUUCAGUACAUAAUAUACUGUGGUAACCCUAAGUAGAUAAAGAUGUUCAGACUUUAAGAUGC